RNAcentral lists this ribosomal RNA (332 nucleotides) under uncultured bacterium. RNAcentral's name for it is "bacterial SSU rRNA". It matches the Rfam family "Bacterial small subunit ribosomal RNA", at positions 568 to 898 of the family's 1533-position model. The record is from RNAcentral.
UGCGUAGGCGGUUUGGUAAGUCUUGUGUGAAAUCUAUGGGCUCAACUCAUAGUCUGCACGAGAAACUGCCGGGCUUGAGUGUGGGAGAGGUGAGUGGAAUUUCCGGUGUAGCGGUGAAAUGCGUAGAUAUCGGAAGGAACACCUGUGGCGAAAGCGGCUCACUGGACCACAACUGACGCUGAUGCACGAAAGCUAGGGGAGCAAACAGGAUUAGAUACCCUGGUAGUCCUAGCCCUAAACGAUGACUGCUUGGUGUGACGGGUACCCAAUCCCGCCGUGCCGUAGCUAACGCGUUAAGCAGUCCGCCUGGGGAGUACGGUCGCAAGGCUGAA